AACGAACGCUGGCGGCAUGCCUAACACAUGCAAGUCGAACGAGACCUUCGGGUCUAGUGGCGCACGGGUGCGUAACGCGUGGGAAUCUGCCCUUGGGUUCGGAAUAACAGUUAGAAAUGACUGCUAAUACCGGAUAAUGUCUUCGGACCAAAGAUUUAUCGCCCAGGGAUGAGCCCGCGUAGGAUUAGCUAGUUGGUGAGGUAAAGGCUCACCAAGGCGACGAUCCUUAGCUGGUCUGAGAGGAUGAUCAGCCACACUGGGACUGAGACACGGCCCAGACUCCUACGGGAGGCAGCAGUGGGGAAUAUUGGACAAUGGGGGCAACCCUGAUCCAGCCAUGCCGCGUGUGUGAAGAAGGCCUUCGGGUUGGUUAAAGGACACUUU
RNAcentral lists this ribosomal RNA (384 nucleotides) under uncultured bacterium. RNAcentral describes it as "bacterial SSU rRNA". It matches the Rfam family "Bacterial small subunit ribosomal RNA", at positions 29 to 436 of the family's 1533-position model. The record is from RNAcentral.